UGUGGCUGUGUGGGUUCCGG
This 20-nucleotide microRNA is filed under the name Salvia sclarea (clary). RNAcentral's name for it is "ssl-miR948". Its record names the gene ssl-miR948. Lineage: Eukaryota; Viridiplantae; Streptophyta; Magnoliopsida; Lamiales; Lamiaceae. The record is from miRBase by way of RNAcentral.